GCCACUGGCUGAGAUGAACCACGAGGUGAUACUGGAAAAAGACAAGGGGAAUCCUGGCAGCUGUGAUGAAUGCAUUCCUAUUGGAGAUUUUUCCUUUGAUCCACAUAAACUAAUCUGCUGUUCACUGGAAAGCGGGAACAUUCUUUUCCCACGGCACAGGAGGAAAAGGAUAUUGCUUGGCAACCACUGCCAUCACAUCUGGUUGGUUUCAUAUGGAAGUUCUACAUUGUGAAAGAGAACAAAGGCAAUGAGGGGACAUGUAUCGGCGUGUCCCGCUGGCCAGUCCGAGAUUAUAACCACCACACCACCACUGAUAUGUGGCUGUAUCGUGCUUACAGUGGCAACUUGUACCAUGGAGGAGAAUUGGUCCGGACUCUUCCCUCCUUCACUCAGGGUGAUACUAUCACCUGCAUCCUGGACAUGGAAGCUCACACCGUGUUAUUUGCUAA
Thalassophryne amazonica is the source of this 449-nucleotide long non-coding RNA. RefSeq lists it as uncharacterized. The transcript has 3 exons. Lineage: Eukaryota; Metazoa; Chordata; Actinopteri; Batrachoidiformes; Batrachoididae. The record is from RefSeq and is a predicted model, not a curated record.